RNAcentral lists this long non-coding RNA (555 nucleotides) under Homo sapiens (human). RNAcentral's name for it is "HSALNT0297200". Lineage: Eukaryota; Metazoa; Chordata; Mammalia; Primates; Hominidae. The record is from RNAcentral.
AGGGUUUAGAGGAGUGCAUUCAAAUAAUACUCCUAACAGUUGGAUAAACUGUCAUGAGGGCAUUUGGCUGUGAAGUUGCAAUGAGUGGAGAGGCAUUGACAUUGUUGCUGAUGGUGACGUUCCUGGUUGAUGACAUAGAAGACUUAAUUUCCUCCUCAUGAUUAAUCUCUCAGUUGGAGAGUAUACACACUCUUACACAGAAUCCAGGACGAAAGCCCUCAUCAGAUGCUUACAUCAUGAUCUUGGACUUCCCAGCCUCCAGACUGAUGCUAUGGAAGAUCAGAAAAUAUAAAUUUAUGAACUGCUAUAAACUGUUAUUUUCUUCGUGAAGAUCAGCACAACAAGAUGUUCCAGACUUAUUCAACAUAUUGUCCAGCCAGUCCUGGAAACAAUCAGUUCCCUGAGGACAGAAUUAAAGUUUAGAGACCUGAAUCUGGGCCCCAGGGGUGGUCAUUACUACUGGUUUGCCACUGCUUCUGUAGCUUUUCAGUGAAGAGGUAGUUAUGUAAUAUGUAUCUAAAAAAAUAAAUUCAAGUUAUGUAUUUUAAAAAUAAA